This 390-nucleotide ribosomal RNA is filed under the name uncultured bacterium. RNAcentral's name for it is "bacterial SSU rRNA". It matches the Rfam family "Archaeal small subunit ribosomal RNA", at positions 336 to 726 of the family's 1478-position model. The record is from RNAcentral.
CAGGCGCGAAAACUUUACAAUGCGGGAAACCGUGAUAAGGGAAUCUCGAGUGCCAGCAUAUAAUGUUGGCUGUCCAGAUGCCUAAAAAGCAUCUGUUAGCAAGGGCCGGGCAAGACCGGUGCCAGCCGCCGCGGUAACACCGGCGGCCCGAGUGGUAACCGCUUUUAUUGGGUCUAAAGGGUCUGUAGCCGGCCAAGUAAGACCCUUGGGAAAUCUGGCAGCUUAACUGUCAGGCUGCUAGGGGAUACUGCUAGGCUUGGGACCGGGAGAGGUGAGAGGUACCUUGGGGGUAGGGGUGAAAUCUUGUGAUCCUCGGGGGACCACCAGUGGCGAAGGCGUCUCACCAGAACGGGUCCGACGGUAAGGGACGAAAGCUAGGGGCACGAACCG